Molecule: ribosomal RNA, 850 nt
Filed under: Ganoderma philippii
Lineage: Eukaryota; Fungi; Basidiomycota; Agaricomycetes; Polyporales; Polyporaceae
Description: partial large subunit ribosomal RNA
Rfam family: Eukaryotic large subunit ribosomal RNA
Source: RNAcentral
UCCCCUAGUAAACUGCGAGUGAAGCGGGAAAAGCUCAAAUUUAAAAUCUGGCGGUCUUUGGCCGUCCGAGUUGUAGUCUGGAGAAGUGCUUUCCGUGCUGGACCGUGUAUAAGUCUCUUGGAACAGAGCGUCAUAGAGGGUGAGAAUCCCGUCUUUGACACGGACUACCAGUGCUUUGUGAUGCGCUCUCAAAGAGUCGAGUUGUUUGGGAAUGCAGCUCAAAAUGGGUGGUGAAUUCCAUCUAAAGCUAAAUAUUGGCGAGAGACCGAUAGCGAACAAGUACCGUGAGGGAAAGAUGAAAAGCACUUUGGAAAGAGAGUUAAACAGUACGUGAAAUUGCUGAAAGGGAAACGCUUGAAGUCAGUCGCGUUGUCCGGAACUCAGCCUUGCUUUCGCUUGGUGCACUUUCCGGAUGACGGGUCAGCAUCGAUUUUGACCGUCGGAAAAGGGCUGGAGUAAUGUGGCACCUCCGGGUGUGUUAUAGACUCUGGUCGCAUACGGCGGUUGGGAUCGAGGAACGCAGCGCGCCGCAAGGCAGGGGUUCGCCCACUUUCGCGCUUAGGAUGCUGGCAUAAUGGCUUUAAACGACCCGUCUUGAAACACGGACCAAGGAGUCUAACAUACCUGCGAGUGUUUGGGUGGAAAACCCGAGCGCGUAAUGAAAGUGAAAGUUGAGAUCCCUGUCGUGGGGAGCAUCGACGCCCGGACCUGACGUUCUCUGACGGAUCCGCGGUAGAGCAUGUAUGUUGGGACCCGAAAGAUGGUGAACUAUGCCUGAAUAGGGUGAAGCCAGAGGAAACUCUGGUGGAGGCUCGUAGCGAUUCUGACGUGCAAAUCGAUCGUCAAAUUU